Molecule: ribosomal RNA, 229 nt
Filed under: uncultured bacterium
Lineage: Bacteria
Description: partial 16S ribosomal RNA
Rfam family: Bacterial small subunit ribosomal RNA
Source: RNAcentral
UACGUAGGCGGAAAAUUAAGUCAGUAGUGAAAUCCUGCAGCUUAACUGUAGAACUGUUAUUGAUACUGGUUUUCUUGAAUAUAGUUGAGGUAGGCGGAAUGUGUAAUGUAGCGGUGAAAUGCUUAGAUAUUACACAGAACACCGAUUGCGAAGGCAGCUUACUAAGCUAUGAUUGACGCUGAGGUACGAAAGCGUGGGGAGCGAACAGGAUUAGAUACCCGAGUAGUCC